UCCGGUUGAUCCUGCCGGAGGCCACUGCUAUGGGGGUCCGACUAAGCCAUGCGAGUCAUGGGGCGCGCUCUGCGCGCACCGGCGGACGGCUCAGUAACACGUCGGUAACCUACCCUCGGGAGGGGGAUAACCCCGGGAAACUGGGGCUAAUCCCCCAUAGGCCUGAGGUACUGGAAGGUCCUCAGGCCGAAAGGGGCUUUGCCCGCCCGAGGAUGGGCCGGCGGCCGAUUAGGUAGUUGGUGGGGUAACGGCCCACCAAGCCGAAGAUCGGUACGGGCCAUGAGAGUGGGAGCCCGGAGAUGGACACUGAGACACGGGUCCAGGCCCUACGGGGCGCAGCAGGCGCGAAACCUCCGCAAUGCGGGCAACCGCGACGGGGGGACCCCCAGUGCCGUGGCAUCGCCACGGCUUUUCCGGAGUGUAAAAAGCUCCGGGAAUAAGGGCUGGGCAAGGCCGGUGGCAGCCGCCGCGGUAAUACCGGCGGCCCGAGUGGUGGCCGCUAUUAUUGGGCCUAAAGCGUCCGUAGCCGGGCCCGUAAGUCCCUGGCGAAAUCCCACGGCUCAACCGUGGGGCUUGCUGGGGAUACUGCGGGCCUUGGGACCGGGAG
Molecule: ribosomal RNA, 607 nt
Filed under: uncultured archaeon
Lineage: Archaea
Description: bacterial SSU rRNA
Rfam family: Archaeal small subunit ribosomal RNA
Source: RNAcentral